UACGGCGAGUGAGAGGGAAGAGCCCAAGAUUGAAAGCUGGCGUCUUCGGCGUCCGCAUUGUAAUCUCAAGAAGUGUUUUCCGCUUCGGACCAAGCCUAAGUCCCCUGGAAAGGGGCAUCAUAGAGGGUGAUAAUCCCGUACAUGGCUUGGAGCGCCCGAGGCUUUGUGAUACGCUUUCUAAGAGUCGAGUUGUUUGGGAAUGCAGCUCAAAAUGGGUGGUAAAUGCCAUCUAAGGCUAAAUAUUGGGGAGAGACCGAUAGCGAACAAGUACAGUGAUGGAAAGAUGAAAAGAACUUUGAAAAGAGAGUUAAACAGUACGUGAAAUUGCCAAAAGGGAAGGGUAGGAGGUCAGAGAUGCGGCCUGGGAUUCAGCCUUGCUUUUGCUUGGUGUUUUUCCCAGAUUGCAGGCCAACGUCGGUUUUGGGCACUGGAGAAGGGUAGGAGGAACGUGGCACCCCUCGGGGUGUGUUAUAGCCUCCUACUGGAUACAGCGACCGAGACCGAGGACAGCAGCGUACUCGCAAGAGCGGGCCUUCGGGCACCUUUACGCUUAGGGCGUUGGCAUAAUGGCCCUCUACCACCCGUCUUG
Molecule: ribosomal RNA, 589 nt
Filed under: uncultured Pseudozyma
Lineage: Eukaryota; Fungi; Basidiomycota; Ustilaginomycetes; Ustilaginales; Ustilaginaceae
Description: eukaryotic LSU rRNA
Rfam family: Eukaryotic large subunit ribosomal RNA
Source: RNAcentral